This 497-nucleotide ribosomal RNA is filed under the name uncultured bacterium. RNAcentral describes it as "partial 16S ribosomal RNA". It matches the Rfam family "Bacterial small subunit ribosomal RNA", at positions 28 to 506 of the family's 1533-position model. The record is from RNAcentral.
GACGAACGCUGGCGGCGUGCCUAAUACAUGCAAGUCGAGCGGACGGAUGGGAGCUUGCUCCCAGACCGUCAGCGGCGGACGGGUGAGUAACACGUGGGCAACCUGCCUGUAAGACUGGGAUAACUCCGGGAAACCGGGGCUAAUACCGGAUAACUCUUUCCCUCACAUGAGGGAAAGCUGAAAGAUGGCAUCUCGCUAUCACUUACAGAUGGGCCCGCGGCGCAUUAGCUAGUUGGUGAGGUAACGGCUCACCAAGGCGACGAUGCGUAGCCGACCUGAGAGGGUGAUCGGCCACACUGGGACUGAGACACGGCCCAGACUCCUACGGGAGGCAGCAGUAGGGAAUCUUCCGCAAUGGACGAAAGUCUGACGGAGCAACGCCGCGUGAGUGAUGAAGGUUUGCGGAUCGUAAAACUCUGUUGUCAGGGAAGAACAAGUACCGGAGCAACUGCCGGUACCUGGACGGUACCUGACCAGAAAGCCACGGCUAACUACGU